AUUGAACGCUGGCGGCAGGCUUAACACAUGCAAGUCGAACGAGUGGCGGACGGGUGAGUAAUGUAUGGGGAUCUGGCUGAUGGAGGGGGAUAACUACGGGAAACGGUAGCUAAUACCGCAUACCAUAGGAUGAACACAAGUGGGAUUAGCUAGUUGGUGGGGUAAAGGCUCACCAAGCCGACGAUCUCUAGCUGGUCUGAGAGGAUGACCAGCCACACUGGGACUGAGACAUGGCCCAGACUCCUACGGGAGGCAGCAGUGGGGAAUAUUGCGCAAUGGGCGCAAGCCUGAUGCAGCCAUGCCGCGUGAAUGAAGAAGGCCUUAGGGUUGUAAAGUACUUUCGGUAGCGAGGCGUUAACCACAGAAGAAGCACCGGCUAACUCCGUGCCAGCAGCCGCGGUAAUAC
Molecule: ribosomal RNA, 406 nt
Filed under: uncultured bacterium
Lineage: Bacteria
Description: partial 16S ribosomal RNA
Rfam family: Bacterial small subunit ribosomal RNA
Source: RNAcentral